Molecule: ribosomal RNA, 331 nt
Filed under: uncultured cyanobacterium
Lineage: Bacteria; Bacillati; Cyanobacteriota
Description: partial 16S ribosomal RNA
Source: RNAcentral
GGAGUUUGGUCCGUGUCUCAGUCCCAUUGUGGCUGAUCAUCCUCUCAAACCAGCUACUGAUCGUCGCCUUGGUGGUCCAUUACACCCCCAACUAGCUAAUCAGAUGCAGACUCAUCCCACGAGCACCGGAGUUUUCUACGAAUAGCAUCUCAGCUACGCGCAUAUGCGGUAUUAGCAGAAGUUUCCCUCUGUUGUCCCGCUCUCUAGGGCAGAUUCUCUACAUAUUACUCACCCGUCCGCCACUUAUGUAUCUCCGAAGAGACCUUAUCGUUCGACUUGCAUGUAUGAAGCACGCCGCCAGCGUCGUCCUCGAGCCACUGAUCAAACUACU